AACAGAUUGAGACUCCAUCUCAAAAAAAAAAAAAAAAUAAGUGGUCACUAAAGAAGAUAUCCAGUUGGUAAAUAUGCACAUGAAAAGAUGCUCAACAUGAUUAGUCAGUAGGAAAAUGCAAAUUAAAACCACAGUGUGAUUCCACUUCUCACCCAUUACUAUGGGUAAUGUUUGGGAAAAAACUGACAAUACCAAGUGCCAAUGAUGACGCAGAAUAACUAAGUGUUAGAAGGAAUGCAAAAUUGUACAACAGUCACCCUGGAGAAUGGUUUGCCAGUUUCUUAUAUAUUUCAACACAUACCGUAUGACCUAUCAAUCUCACGGCUAGGUAUUUACUUAAGUAAAAGAAAAAUUUACAUUUAUAUAAAAAUCAGUACAUGAUAUCUGUGACAGCUCUAUUAGUAAUUGCCAAGAAUGGCAUGCAUACAAGGGAAUAUUUUAGCAAUGGGAAUAGCGCGUAUCUUCAUUAUGCUGGUAUUACCUGAGUGUAUACGUUUGUCAAAUCUCAUCAAAACGUACAUUUAAAAUUGGUGAGUUUUCUCAUAACCACACCUCAAUAAAACUCACUUUAAAAAAUUCUCUAAUCAGUUUAAAGAUUGUAUAGAAGGAGAUUUUAAGAGGAGCUGAAAAAACAGUGGCUUGGUAAGCAAAAUAGAAUUAUUAAAAGCCCCAAGUACUUUGAUUUCCUAAUGUUCAGUAUUUAGUGUUGCCACAUUGAUAGGAGCUUCUAGAGCAUUUAUAUUACUUUGACUCUCAUUUUUUCUUACUAUAAUUUUCUAAAAAAUAGAAAAUCUGCCUCCUGGAGAGAUAAAACAGAGGUCCAGUGCAAAUAGGAAUAAUGCAUAACUUCAUACUGGGUUGAUUCAUGUCUUCUAUGAAAGAAAUUAUUUUUUCAAGUUGCACGUAGUUUUAUUUGGAAAGUCAGUACCUGUUGAAUUAUUUUUGUUACCCUUAUUAUCAUGAAGUUUUGUGUUUUACUUCUCACAAGCAUUUAUUUCCUUUAAGCACAACACUGACUUUGACUGAAAGACAAAGGAAGUCAUAGCACCUCAAAGCUUGGUGAAUAAUGAAACAAAUGAUGAUACAUCCACACCACAGAAUCCUACUCAGCAAGAAAAAUAAACUAUUACUGCCUGCACAAAUUGGAUAAACCUCAAGGGAGUUACUCUGAGUGGAAAAAGCCAAUAUCAAAAGGUUUCGGGAAUAAAGGAGCAAGGAAGUUGGCAGCAUCUACAAAAUGAUAGCACAAAGGAGCCCUGUGAUGGAAGUGACCUGUACUUUGAGUGCAGUGGUGAGUCUACACAUGCGAUGAUAUUACACAGAAUGAAGUACACACACCGCACACACGAAUGUAUGUAAAACUGGCAAAAUCUGAAUAAGGUCAGUGGAUUUUAUCUGUGUCAGUUUUUAAAUUGUGAUAUUUUACUACAGUUGUAUAAAAUAUGACCAUUGGGAGAAACUAGAUGAAGCUUUCAUGGGAGCUUACGUGGCUUUGCAUUUUUUCUUAUAACUGCAUGGGAAUCUAUAAUUACGUCAAAAUAAGAAGCUUAUAAAGCAAAUGAACAUUAAAUAUUUUAAAAACAGGAAUGCUGGCUUGUAUCAUAGUGUAAGUACUUUAUCAGAGAUACUCCUAAAUAUUUUACUUCAUGUAUUUAAUUAGAAUAGAUCUUUGCAUUAAGAAAGCAAGAUUCACUUUAAUGCUGCUUCUGAAAGUUGCUUCGUAGAGAGAGAGAAUGGAAUGAAACACAUGGUACAGUCCUGUUUCAUAAUAGAUUUCAAGGUACAUUCUUUAAAGGUUAUGUUAAAAGUUGAUUGUCUUAAAUCUUUAUUUUAUAAAGAGACUUUAAAAUUUAAGUGAUCAUGACUUUUGCAUAUUUUAUGUAUAUUACGGGAACAUUUAACUAAAAACUUAUGAAAGAAUAAGAGAUGUUCUAAAUCACCAAGGCAGUUUUACGUGCUUUAGAUUUUGCAUUAAUAGAGACACUUUAACCAAAGAGCAUUUCAUGUUUGUCUUUCCCUCACCUCCAGUUCUUCAAUUUAAUAUGUGGUUACCCUCUUUUCAAGAGUUACAGUACCAUUUUAAAUUCCCAUUAGCGUUGUAAAAUGAUCCAGUUUUUCCAUAUCCCGGUCAGCAUUUAGGGUUAUCACUGUCGUUUUAUUUUAGUCAUUUUGAUAGGUGUAUUAGUGACAUCUCAUUGUGGUUUUAAUUUUCAUUCCUUUAAUA
Molecule: long non-coding RNA, 2224 nt
Filed under: Homo sapiens (human)
Lineage: Eukaryota; Metazoa; Chordata; Mammalia; Primates; Hominidae
Description: HSALNT0308618
Source: RNAcentral